GGGCAGGAUAGGUGAAGGGGGCCUACCAGUAGAACUGGUGCGCUCCCCUUCACGGGUCUCUUCUUCGCGCCUGCGCGCUCAACGGGGGGACUAUCCUGCGGAGCA
This is a non-coding RNA of Nitrospira sp. HN-bin3, 105 nucleotides long. Lineage: Bacteria; Pseudomonadati; Nitrospirota; Nitrospiria; Nitrospirales; Nitrospiraceae. The record is from Rfam.